GGGGAAUUUUGGACAAUGGGCGCAAGCCUGAUCCAGCCAUGCCGCGUGAGUGAAGAAGGCCUUCGGGUUGUAAAGCUCUUUCGGCUGGGAAGAAAUCGCAUCUCCUAAUACGGGGUGUGGAUGACGGUACCAGCAUAAGAAGCACCGGCUAACUACGUGCCAGCAGCCGCGGUAAUACGUAGGGUGCGAGCGUUAAUCGGAAUUACUGGGCGUAAAGCGUGCGCAGGCGGUUUCGUAAGACAGACGUGAAAUCCCCGGGCUCAACCUGGGAACUGCAUUUGUGACUGCGAGGCUAGAGUAUGGCAGAGGGGGGUGGAAUUCCACGUGUAGCAGUGAAAUGCGUAGAGAUGUGGAGGAACACCGAUGGCGAAGGCAGCCCCCUGGGCCAAUACUGACGCUCAUGCACGAAAGCGUGGGGAGCAAAC
Molecule: ribosomal RNA, 425 nt
Filed under: uncultured bacterium
Lineage: Bacteria
Description: bacterial SSU rRNA
Rfam family: Bacterial small subunit ribosomal RNA
Source: RNAcentral